Molecule: ribosomal RNA, 492 nt
Filed under: uncultured bacterium
Lineage: Bacteria
Description: partial 16S ribosomal RNA
Rfam family: Bacterial small subunit ribosomal RNA
Source: RNAcentral
AGUGAACGCUGGCGGCAGGCCUAACACAUGCAAGUCGAACGGAAGCACAGUAAGAGCUCGCCCCUAAGGGUGGCGAGGGGCGGACGGGUGAGGAAUACAUCGGAAUCUACUUUUUCGUGGGGGAUAACGUAGGACAAGUUACGCUAAUACCGAAUAUGACCUACGGGAGAAAGCAGGGGAUCUUCAGACCUUGCGUGAUACAAUGAGCUGAUGUCGGAUUAGCUAGUUGGCGGGGUAAGGGACCACCAAGGCGACGAUCCGUAGCUGGUCUGAGAGGAUGAUCGGCCACACUGGAACUGAGACACGGUCCAGACUCCUACGGGAGGCAGCAGUGGGGAAUAUUCGACAAUGGGCGCAAGCCUGAUCGAGCCAUACCGCGUGGGUGAUGAAGGCCUUCGGGUUGUAAAACUCUUUUAUUGGGGAAGAAAAGCAGCGUGAGAAACCAUCGCUGUUCUGACGGUACCCAAAGAGUAAGCACCGGCUAACUUCGUG